Molecule: ribosomal RNA, 748 nt
Filed under: uncultured Arcobacter sp.
Lineage: Bacteria; Pseudomonadati; Campylobacterota; Epsilonproteobacteria; Campylobacterales; Arcobacteraceae
Description: bacterial SSU rRNA
Rfam family: Bacterial small subunit ribosomal RNA
Source: RNAcentral
UGCGAGUCGAACGAGUACGGGUUAUAGCUUGCUAUAACUGUCAGCUAAGUGGCGCACGCGCGUGUAGUAAUAUAUAGUUAACCUGCCCUAGAGAGAGGGAUAACGUUUGGAAACGGACGCUAAUACCUCAUAUGCCUUUAAUACAUAAGUAUGCAAGGGAAACAUUUAUGGCUCUAGGAUGGGACUGUACGGUAUCAGUUAGUUGGUGAGGUAAUGGCUCACCAAGACAAUGACACCUAACUGGUUUGAGAGGAUGAUCAGUCACACUGGAACUGAGACACGGUCCAGACUCCUACGGGAGGCAGCAGUGGGGAAUAUUGCACAAUGGACGAAAGUCUGAUGCAGCAACGCCGCGUGGAGGAUGACACAUUUCGGUGCGUAAACUCCUUUUAUAUAGGAAGAUAAUGACGGUACUAUAUGAAUAAGCACCGGCUAACUCCGUGCCAGCAGCCGCGGUAAUACGGAGGGUGCAAGCGUUACUCGGAAUCACUGGGCGUAAAGAGCGUGUAGGCGGAUAGGUAAGUCAGAAGUGAAAUCCAAUAGCUCAACUAUUGAACUGCUUUUGAAACUGCUUGUCUAGAAUAUGGGAGAGGUAGAUGGAAUUUCUGGUGUAGGGGUAAAAUCCGUAGAGAUCAGAACGAAUACCGAUUGCGAAUGCGAUCUACUGGAACAUUAUUGACGCUGAGACGCGAAAGCGUGGGGAGCAAACAGGAUUAGAUACCCUGGUAGUCCACGCCCUAAACGAUGC